Molecule: ribosomal RNA, 366 nt
Filed under: uncultured bacterium
Lineage: Bacteria
Description: partial 16S ribosomal RNA
Rfam family: Bacterial small subunit ribosomal RNA
Source: RNAcentral
CCUACGGGAGGCUGCAGUGAGGAAUAUUGGUCAAUGGGCGCGAGCCUGAACCAGCCAAGUAGCGUGAAGGAUGACUGCCCUACGGGUUGUAAACGUCUUUUAUAAAGGAAUAAAGUGAGGCACGUGUGCCGUUUUGUAUGUACGUGAUGAAGAAGGAUCGGCUAACUCCGUGCCAGCAGCCGCGGUAAUACGGAGGAUCCGAGCGUUAUCCGGAUUUAUUGGGUUUAAAGGGAGCGUAGAUGGGUUGUUAAGUCAGUUGGGAAAGUUUGCGGCUCAACCGUAAAAUUGCAAUUGAUACUGGCCGCCUUGCGUACAGUUGAGGUAGGCGGACUUCGUGGUGUAGCGGUGAAAUGCUUCGCUCUCACG